ACGGGAGGCAGCAGUGGGGAAUAUUGCACAAUGGGGGAAACCCUGAUGCAGCGAUGCCGCGUGAAGGAUGAAGGGUUUCGGCUCGUAAACUUUUAUCGAUAGUGAAGAAAAAAAUGACGGUAACUAAGUAAGAAGCUCCGGCUAACUAUGUGCCAGCAGCCGCGGUAAUACAUAGGGAGCAAGCGUUAUCCGGAUUUACUGGGUGUAAAGGGUGCGUAGGUGGCAUGGCAAGUCAGUCGUUAAAGACCAGAGCUUAACUCUGGACCAGCGAUUGAAACUGUCAAGCUAGAGUACAGGAGAGGUAAGUGGAAUUCCUAGUGUAGCGGUGAAAUGCGUAGAUAUUAGGAGGAACACCAGUGGCGAAGGCGGCUUACUGGACUGUAACUGACGCUGAGGCACGAAAGCGUGGGGAGCAAACAGGAUUAGAUACCCUGGUA
This 437-nucleotide ribosomal RNA is filed under the name uncultured Lachnospiraceae bacterium. Its description in RNAcentral is "bacterial SSU rRNA". It matches the Rfam family "Bacterial small subunit ribosomal RNA", at positions 341 to 792 of the family's 1533-position model. The record is from RNAcentral. Lineage: Bacteria; Bacillati; Bacillota; Clostridia; Lachnospirales; Lachnospiraceae.